This 86-nucleotide transfer RNA is filed under the name uncultured Nocardioidaceae bacterium. Its description in RNAcentral is "tRNA-Leu-CAA". It matches the Rfam family "tRNA". From Rfam's summary of the family: Transfer RNA (tRNA) molecules are approximately 80 nucleotides in length. The record is from RNAcentral. Lineage: Bacteria; Bacillati; Actinomycetota; Actinomycetes; Propionibacteriales; Nocardioidaceae.
GCCGGGUUGGCGGAAUGGCAGACGCGGCGGCCUCAAAAGCCGCUGUCCUCCGGGACGUGUGGGUUCGAGUCCCACACCCGGCACCG